Molecule: small RNA, 585 nt
Filed under: Pan troglodytes (chimpanzee)
Lineage: Eukaryota; Metazoa; Chordata; Mammalia; Primates; Hominidae
Description: processed transcript
Source: RNAcentral
ACUUCAGCCCGAGCGCGGGGUUAGGGCUUCAUUGCCUUGUGUCUUCUGCUCCGGGAGACUUCGGUGAUUCUGCCACUCACUCCGUCGCUCUGUGACCUGCUGGCAUUGAAUGAUUUAUAGCUAAGACUCCAGGACACCCCUGAAGCCGAGAAAUGGAACUCUUAACAUUCAGGGAUGUGGCCAUAGAAUUCUCUCCAGAAGAGUGGAAAUGCCUGGACCCUGCCCAACAGAAUUUAUAUAGAGAUGUGAUGUUGGAGAACUACAGAAACCUGGUCUCCCUGGUGGAAAAGCGAGAUUUUCUUUGACCAUUGGCUAUGGACAUUGUCAGGGAUGGUGCAGCCUGAAUGAGAAUGUCUGCAGUAUUUCCUGAAAUAAGUAUCCCUCAAGGAUGAUACUGUGGACCUCACUCAGGAAGAAUGUGUCCUUCAGAGAAAGCUGCGCAGAGACGUGGUGCUGGAGAAGCAGUCAUCUGGUUACUUUGGCAUGAAUGAGAGAUCCUUUCGCUUCACAUCUUUGCCAGCAUUUGGUGUUGUCAGUGUUCUAGAUUUUGGCCAUUAUAGUACAUGACUUCAGGCUCCUAUGUGC